CGGAAAGACCCCGUGAACCUUUACUAUAGCUUGACACUGAACAUUGAGCCUUGAUGUGUAGGAUAGGUGGGAGGCUUAGAAGUGUGGACGCCAGUCUGCAUGGAGCCGGCCUUGAAAUACCACCCUUUAAUGUUUGAUGUUCUAACGUGGACCCGUAAUCCGGGUUGCGGACAGUGUCUGGUGGGUAGUUUGACUGGGGCGGUCUCCUCCUAAAGAGUAACGGAGG
RNAcentral lists this ribosomal RNA (226 nucleotides) under Escherichia coli. RNAcentral's name for it is "partial 23S ribosomal RNA". It matches the Rfam family "Bacterial large subunit ribosomal RNA", at positions 2081 to 2306 of the family's 2925-position model. The record is from RNAcentral. Lineage: Bacteria; Pseudomonadati; Pseudomonadota; Gammaproteobacteria; Enterobacterales; Enterobacteriaceae.